GAAGGCCCGGUGCAAGCGGGGUACCAGUCACUCAGGCAAAUCCGGGUGGCAAUGGGAAGCCGUGAUGCGGAGCGAAAUACAAGUAGCGAAGUCCGUGAGCCAUGCGUCAAGAAAAGCCGCUAUUGUUUAUACCGUACCCGUACCGUAAACCGACACAGGUGGAUGAGGAGAGAAUCCUAAGGCCGGCGGAAGAAGCAUUGUCAAGGAACUCGGCAAAAUGACCCCGUAACUUCGGGAGAAGGGGUGCCACUGAGAAGUGGCCGCAGAGAAUAGGCUCAAGCAACUGUUUUGCAAAAACACAGGUCUAUGCGAAACCGAAAGGUGAGGUAUAUGGGCUGACGCCUGCCCGGUGCUGGAAGGUUAAGAGGAGAGGUUAGCGCAAGCGAAGCUUUGAAUUUAAGCCCCAGUAAACGGCGGCCGUAACAAUAACGGUCCUAAGGUAGCGAAAUUCCUUGUCGGGUAAGUUCCGACCCGCACGAAAGGCGUAAUGAUUUGAGCGCUGUCUCGACAAUGCAUCCGGUGAAAUUGAGGUACCAGUGAAGAUGCUGGUUACCUGCGCCAGGACGGAAAGACCCCAUGGAGCUUUACUCCAGUUUGGUACUGGGGUCCGGUAUUGCAUGUACAGGAUAGGUGGGAGGCUAGGAAGCAGUAACGCCAGUUGCUGCGGAGCCGCUGUUGGGAUACCACCCUUGCAGUACUGGGCUUCUAACCAGCCGCCGUGAACCGGCGGUGGGACAAUGCCAGACGGGGAGUUUGACUGGGGCGGUCGCCUCCGAAAGGGUAUCGGAGGCGCCCAAAGGUUCCCUCAGAAUGGACGGAAACCAUUCGAAGAGUGCAAAGGCAGAAGGGAGCUUGACUGCGACACCGACGGGUGGAGCAGGUACGUAAGUAGGGCUUAGUGAUCCGGUGGUAUUAAGUGGGAAUGCCAUCGCUCAACGGAUAAAAGCUACCCUGGGAUAACAGGCUUAUCACUCCCAAGAGUUCACAUCGACGGAGUGGUUUGGCACCUCGAUGUCGGCUCAUCGCAUCCUGGGGCUGUAGUAGGUCCCAAGGGUUGGGCUGUUCGCCCAUUAAAGCGGUACGCGAGCUGGGUUCAGAACGUCGUGAGACAGUUCGGUCCCUAUCCGGCGUGGGCGUAGGAUAUCUGAGAGGAGCUGUCCUUAGUACGAGAGGACCGGGAUGGACGGACCGCUGGUGUACCGGUUAGACUGCCAAGUCUACGGCCGGGUAGCCAAGUCCGGAAGGGAUAAACGCUGAAGGCAUCUAAGCGUGAAGCCCCCCUCAAGAUGAGAUGUCCCAUUCGAAAGAAGUAAACCCCCUUGAAGACGACGAGGUAGAUAGGGCAGGGGUGGAAGUGUGGUAACACACGGAGCUGACUGUUACUAAUAGGGUGAGGGCUUGACC
This 1404-nucleotide ribosomal RNA is filed under the name metagenome. RNAcentral's name for it is "bacterial LSU rRNA". It matches the Rfam family "Bacterial large subunit ribosomal RNA", at positions 1501 to 2925 of the family's 2925-position model. The record is from RNAcentral.